RNAcentral lists this long non-coding RNA (1088 nucleotides) under Mus musculus (house mouse). RNAcentral's name for it is "predicted gene 3764". Lineage: Eukaryota; Metazoa; Chordata; Mammalia; Rodentia; Muridae. The record is from RNAcentral.
AGAGCAGCGGCCAAGGCUGAGGAGAGAGCUGGGACUCGAGACCCUGCUCCACCCUGCUGGCUCUCGCUCGGCCCCAUUACCUGGCAAGCCCCGGCAUCCUUGACCCACGUCCGUGGCGCUGCCUGGGUAGGAACGCGCCUGAAGACCGCGCAGGACACUACCACUGGGCAUCCUGGGUUUGAUCUUCUCCCCUGGGGGCGGGUGGGUGCUCCACCCUCCCGCCCACUCUCUGAGGACAUGAGGAACAUGGUAUCCAGCACCACGGACAGCUCCCAGCGGUGAGUGAGCCUGCUGACCCCUGUAGGAAAAUGGUGGUUUUGUCUAUUCCAGGCAGACAUCCUGCACUACAUUCCAGAUCUGAUGAGGCAUGGCUGCCCCAGGAUUACUGGGCUCGGACGGGAGCAGUGGUAGGAAGGAUCCUAUAUAAGUCAUGUGAGACAUAGAAUGUUCAGAUCAACUGAAGCUGAAACAAGCCUUUGGCAUCAUAUAUAACCCAGAAAGGGACAAAGCUGGUGAGUGAACUCCUGAAUCCAGCCUAGCCUUUUCUGCACUGAUUCCCCUUUAUGAACCUCCUUGCCCAAUUCUGGCAGGAGAUUUACAUGAGAUGUUACACACAAAAGGGCAGGAUACAUGUCUGGGAAUGUGAAGUAUCCCUAAGAACCAGGGAAAGGUGGAACUGACUGCUCUCACCGUCUGAGAAGGCUUUGAAGGGAAAGUCCUGAAGAAGGCAUGGGGAAGGCUUACCUAGCAAAAAGGCAAGGGAGCCACCAUCUGCCAGGGUAUAGAGGCCAGUGGAUGGCCCCAGGAGUCUCUGGAGGCCAGCAGGAGGCAUGCAGACUGGACUGGGGCCUGGGAAAGGCCCUUCUGUGUGCCCACGCUUGCUCCCCCUACACCAUGAGUCUAGAGACAAAGGGACCACUCUCUCACAUUUGACACUGCCAUCUCCGGCUGGCAGUGCCAGGUGGCAGGGGCAUCAGGGGUGUCAAUCCAUUAUCCACUCCCAGCCCCUAAGUCCUCUGGGGCUGAAUGUUGGGGAGGUGGGUGUUCUACGCUAUGUUGCCAUAGCAACCACCCCAACCCCCAACCCC